UACGAAGGGGGCUAGCGUUGCUCGGAAUCACUGGGCGUAAAGCGCACGUAGGCGGAUUGUUAAGUCAGGGGUGAAAUCCUGGAGCUCAACUCCAGAACUGCCUUUGAUACUGGAGAGCUCGAGUCCGGAAGAGGUGAGUGGAACUCCGAGUGUAGAGGUGAAAUUCGUAGAUAUUCGGAAGAACACCCGUGGCGAAGGCGGCUCACUGGACCACAACUGACGCUGAGGCGCGAAAGCUAGGGGAGCAAACAGG
Molecule: ribosomal RNA, 253 nt
Filed under: uncultured bacterium
Lineage: Bacteria
Description: partial 16S ribosomal RNA
Rfam family: Bacterial small subunit ribosomal RNA
Source: RNAcentral